GACGAACGCUGGCGGCGUGCUUAACACAUGCAAGUCGAACGGAAAGGCCCUGCUUUUGUGGUGUGCUCGAGUGGCGAACGGGUGAGUAACACGUGAGUAACCUGCCCUUGACUUUGGUAUAACUUCAGGAAACUGGGGCUAAUACCGUAUAGGAUCUCCUGCUGCAUGGUGGGGGUUGGAAAUUUUCGGCUGUAGGGGUUGGACUCGCGGCUUAUCAGCUUGUUGGUUGGCUAGUGGCUGACCAAGGCUUUGACGGGUAGGCGGCCUGAGAGGGGGACCGGGCACAAGAGGACUGAGAGACGGAGCAGAGUGGAACAGGAGGCAACAGGGGGGAGUAUGACACAAUGAGCGGGAGCGGGAUGCAAAAACGUCGGGGGCGGGAUGACGGCCUUCGGGUUGUAAAAAGCUUUAGCCUGUGACGAAGCGGGAGUGACGGUAAUGAGUAAAGAAGCACCGGCUAACUACGUG
Molecule: ribosomal RNA, 468 nt
Filed under: uncultured bacterium
Lineage: Bacteria
Description: partial 16S ribosomal RNA
Rfam family: Bacterial small subunit ribosomal RNA
Source: RNAcentral